Molecule: ribosomal RNA, 380 nt
Filed under: uncultured archaeon
Lineage: Archaea
Description: bacterial SSU rRNA
Rfam family: Archaeal small subunit ribosomal RNA
Source: RNAcentral
UAAUACCAGCUCUCCGAGUGGUAGGGAUGAUUAUUGGGCUUAAAGCGUCCGUAGCCGGCCUAGCAAGUCUUCCGUUAAAUCCACCGAUUCAAUCGUUGGACUGCGGGAGAUACUGUUGGGCUAGGGGGCGGGAGAGGCCGACGGUAUUCUCGGGGUAGGGGUAAAAUCCUAUAAUCCCGGGAGGACCACCAGUGGCGAAGGCGGUCGGCUAGAACGCGCUCGACGGUGAGGGACGAAAGCUGGGGGAGCGAACCGGAUUAGAUACCCGGGUAGUCCCAGCUGUAAACGAUGCGGGCUAGGUGUUGGGGCGGCUACGGGCCGCUUCAGUGCCGCAGGGAAACCAUUAAGUCCGCCGCCUGGGGAGUACGGCCGCAAGGCUG